GGAGAAAGUGGCUCUCAGCGGCCGGUCGGAUUAAAAGUAACCAGACUCGUCCAGAAAACUGCGUCCAGGAAGGAAGUGACAGAAGACGAAUGGGAAAAGGAGAACAGCUCACAGCGUUUGAAACAUCGCGGCACCACUUUCAGAUAAAAACAUAGACCUGAAUGGCAUCAUCCAGUAUCCAAGGAAACCAUGUGAACAACAAAGAAGACUUGGAAACUCAGUGAUCAGGGAUUGGAAAUGAUGGUGAUGGUAAGUGGAAUAUCAUUGAUGCUGAACAUUCAAACCUCACUGAUGUCAGAAAAGACAUGACAAACUCCAAAAGGAAACCCAAGCAGCUAUUUGGCUCCCUUAAUUAAUGAAGUCGCCCAGUAUGGAUAAUUCAGAUGAUCUAUUUAGGGAUGCCGGCAAGUGCUCUCAAGAGAAAACGUAUUCUGUUUCAUCCAGGUUCUCUAAACAUGAAUAUGCCUUUGGGGGAAGACAGAAGAACAUGGAAGCCAUGUGAAAAAAACGGAUCCUAAGCAUUGAAAAGAACAACUUUCAAGUCAAAAGAAUCAAGGUGAAGAGAAUGGAUACUCAUGCCCAUGUGAAUUUGCUGCCCCAAGUCUACUGGAGGAUCAAGCUGCAGGUUUCAAUAGCUAUAGCCUGAAGAAUCUCUGUAAUGAACUAAAACAAUCAGUAAAAGAUCAGUUGCAGUGGAAGACAUUAUACUCUAGAUUUUUCUAGUAUUAUUAAAUUUGAAAAUGAUUUAUUCCAAAUUUUAACUUAGCUUUUAAUUUUACUAGUGUCAAAAUGUUGUACUACUUUGGACAACUGAUUUUUCCAAUAGAGAGUCAAUAGCAUCUUUGCAGGGUGGUUUAAAAGCCAAUAAUUUAAUCCAUAUUCUACUAAAACUUUUAAUAUAAGCAUUUUACCCAGAUGUAUUUUUUCCUUGUUUUAGAAAAUCUGAUUUUAAUUGCUAAAACUCGUUUUUAAAUAUUAAUUCAAUGAAAGAAAUGCUAUGGUUUUCUACUUUUUCAUUUCUUAAACUCAAGGGAAAACAUGGGUGAAAAACAAAAAAUUGUUCUGCAUAGAGUCUUCUUUAAUGUCUCACUUUGGUGAUGUAUGAAAUAAAAACCAAAUUGUUUUAACCA
This 1130-nucleotide long non-coding RNA is filed under the name Homo sapiens (human). RNAcentral's name for it is "MEF2C antisense RNA 1". Lineage: Eukaryota; Metazoa; Chordata; Mammalia; Primates; Hominidae. The record is from RNAcentral.